AGAAAAUCAUUUAUUUUCUUUGAUGCUUUAAAAUUGUGACAUAAAUAUUUCUUGUGUUUACCGUUGGAAAUUUUUUCUUCUACCGGCCUGUUUCAACCUGCCGGUUGUGCGAAAACAAGAUGAGCAGCAUCUUCCGGCCAGGAUAUUUUGCGGGAAAGUACAAAAUCCUCCAGUAAACCAAGGGAAUCCUACGGCUGGUGGCUUUAUCCUGGAACGGUCCCGCGCUAAUGCAGCAAUAAACAUGCAUCUAUCUGAAGCAGAAUCGAGUCGCGGCUUCGCCAGACGAGAACAAGGAGGCGGAGAAUAAUAUGCAUCAACGUAAAAGAAGAAGCGCAACCAUGAAACUUUUUAAGUUGAAAUAUUAUACACCACUAUGUUAAUCUAUUUUUAAGACGGUGAAAUAAUAAAAAGAAAAGGAAAAAAGGAAAAGAGUAGUGAGUUUUGCGAAAGUUGGAAAUAUAUAAAUUGAUAUAGUUGGAACUUUGAUAAUUUCAAUUGAUAAAUUGUCUCAUAAAAGUUCAAAACUUUUCUUCCAGAAUGUUUUAUAAGUAAUAUUCACAUAUAAAUAUUGCAUUUGCUUAAAAUUUUCUUUGAAAACAACGAUAAUAUGUUGUGAAUAAC
This is a long non-coding RNA of Apis laboriosa (Himalayan honeybee), 621 nucleotides long. RefSeq lists it as uncharacterized. NCBI's taxonomy places the organism in Eukaryota, Metazoa, Arthropoda, Insecta, Hymenoptera, Apidae. The transcript is spliced from 3 exons. The record is from RefSeq and is a predicted model, not a curated record.